Molecule: transfer RNA, 73 nt
Filed under: archaeon GW2011_AR20
Lineage: Archaea
Also listed under: 1 other name
Description: tRNA-Gln
Rfam family: tRNA
About the family: Transfer RNA (tRNA) molecules are approximately 80 nucleotides in length. Their secondary structure includes four short double-helical elements and three loops (D, anti-codon, and T loops). Further hydrogen bonds mediate the characteristic L-shaped molecular structure. tRNAs have two regions of fundamental functional importance: the anti-codon, which is responsible for specific mRNA codon recognition, and the 3' end, to which the tRNAs corresponding amino acid is attached (by aminoacyl-tRNA synthetases). tRNAs cope with the degeneracy of the genetic code in two manners: having more than one tRNA (with a specific anti-codon) for a particular amino acid; and 'wobble' base-pairing, i.e. permitting non-standard base-pairing at the 3rd anti-codon position.
Source: RNAcentral
AGCCCUGUGGUGUAGUGGUCAAGCAUUGGAGCCUUUGGAGCUCUAGACGGAAGUUCGAAUCUUCCCAGGGCUA